Long non-coding RNA from Thamnophis elegans (Western terrestrial garter snake), 494 nucleotides. RefSeq lists it as uncharacterized. NCBI's taxonomy places the organism in Eukaryota, Metazoa, Chordata, Lepidosauria, Squamata, Natricidae. The record is from RefSeq and is a predicted model, not a curated record. The transcript is spliced from 3 exons.
CUUGAAGCGCACACGGAGAUCAACAGGCAGGGGCAUGGCUUCCCACACAUCAUCAAGGGUGACUACAGCAUAAGCUGCUUUUCGCACGCCCUCAUGUAGAAAGCUGGUCCCAUCUGUACAAAGAGUUGCAUCUUUGUGCGAUGGGGGUUUGUCCUUCAAAUCUGGGUGACUGGCAUAGGUUUCUUCUUUCUGGUCUGGGACAGCUCGAAGAGCAUGGGGGGGUGUAGAUAUUUAAUUGCUGUCCAAAAGUGAGCUUAUUGGCUUCCUGGGUAAGUAGGGCAGUUCCUGUCACAGCCUUGAGACAGGCUGACCACCCCUUGGCCACCUGAUCCAGCUGUUUGGACAAAUAUGCAACCGGACGAUACCAUGUUCCCAACUGUUGGGUCAGUAUCCCAAUGGCCAUAUUCUGCUUAAUGUCCACAAACAACUGAAAAGGCUGUCAAGUCAGAAAACUAGGAGCCUGAGUCACAGCAUGCUUCAAUUCCAAAAAGCUG